AGAGUUUGAUCAUGGCUCAGAUUGAACGCUGGCGGAAUGCUUUACACAUGCAAGUCGAACGGUAGAGGGGGCAACCCCUCGAGAGUGGCGAACGGGUGAGUAAUAUAUCGGAACGUGCCCAGUCGUGGGGGAUAACGUAGCGAAAGUUACGCUAAUACCGCAUACGAUCUACGGAUGAAAGCGGGGGAUCGCAAGACCUCGCGCGAUUGGAGCGGCCGAUAUCAGAUUAGGUAGUUGGUGGGGUAAAGGCUCACCAAGCCAACGAUCUGUAGCUGGUCUGAGAGGACGACCAGCCACACUGGAACUGAGACACGGUCAAGACUCCUACGGGAGGCAGCAGUGGGGAAUUUUGGACAAUGGACGCAAGUCUGAUCCAGCCAUUCCGCGUGCAGGAUGAAGGCCCUCGGGUUGUAAACUGCUUUUGUACGGAACGAAAAGGUUUCCAUUAAUACUGGGAGCUCAUGACGGUACCGUAAGAAUAAGCACCGGCUAACUACGUGCCAGCAGCCGCGGUAAUACGUAGGGUGCAAGCGUUAAUCGGAAUUACUGGGCGUAAAGCGUGCGCAGGCGGUUAUGCAAGACAGAUGUGAAAUCCCCGGGCUCAACCUGGGAACUGCAUUUGUGACUGCAUGGCUAGAGUACGGUAGAGGGGGAUGGAAUUCCGCGUGUAGCAGUGAAAUGCGUAGAUAUGCGGAGGAACACCGAUGGCGAAGGCAAUCCCCUGGACCUGUACUGACGCUCAUGCACGAAAGCGUGGGGAGCAAACAGGAUUAGAUACCCUGGUAGUCC
RNAcentral lists this ribosomal RNA (789 nucleotides) under uncultured bacterium. Its description in RNAcentral is "bacterial SSU rRNA". It matches the Rfam family "Bacterial small subunit ribosomal RNA", at positions 8 to 796 of the family's 1533-position model. The record is from RNAcentral.